Molecule: ribosomal RNA, 700 nt
Filed under: uncultured bacterium
Lineage: Bacteria
Description: bacterial SSU rRNA
Rfam family: Bacterial small subunit ribosomal RNA
Source: RNAcentral
UGCAAGUCGAACGGAGCUUCUAGCUUUUUCGGAAGCUUAGUGGUGAAAGGGUGAGUAACACGUGGGUUACCUGCCCUAGGGAUUGGGAUAACCUGUCGAAAGACGGGCUAAUACCGAAUACGUCCUAUACUUUUCGAAGUAUAGGGGAAAGAUGGGGAUCCGUAAGGACCUAUCACCCUUGGAUGGGCCCGCGGCCUAUCAGCUAGUUGGUGAGGUAAUGGCUCACCAAGGCUAAGACGGGUAGCUGGUCUGAGAGGAUGGUCAGCCACACUGGGACUGAGACACUGCCCAGACACCUACGGGUGGCUGCAGUCGAGAAUCUUUCGCAAUGGGGGCAACCCUGACGACGCGACGCCGCGUGGAGGAUGAAGGUCUUCGGAUUGUAAACUCCUGUCAGCUGGGGAGAACAAGUUACCGGUGAACAAUCGGUAGCCUUGACAGUACCAGCAGAGGAAGCCACGGCUAACUCUGUGCCAGCAGCCGCGGUAAUACAGAGGUGGCAAGCGUUGUUCGGAUUUAUUGGGCGUAAAGGGUCCGUAGGCGGCCUGAAAAGUCGGAUGUGAAAUCCCACAGCUCAACUGUGGAACUGCAUUCGAAACUUUCAGGCUCGAGUGUGAUAGGGGUAAAGGGAAUUCCCGGUGUAAGAGUGAAAUCUGCAGAGAUCGGGAGGAACACCAGUCGCGAAGGCGCUUUACUGGAU